RNAcentral lists this ribosomal RNA (611 nucleotides) under Malassezia sp. M8. Its description in RNAcentral is "eukaryotic LSU rRNA". It matches the Rfam family "Eukaryotic large subunit ribosomal RNA", at positions 54 to 652 of the family's 3401-position model. Lineage: Eukaryota; Fungi; Basidiomycota; Malasseziomycetes; Malasseziales; Malasseziaceae. The record is from RNAcentral.
AGGAAAAGAAACUAACAAGGAUUCCCCUAGUAACGGCGAGCGAAGCGGGAAGAGCUCAAAUUUGAAAGCUGGCGUCUUCGGCGUCCGCGUUGUAAUCUCGAGACGUGUUUUCCGUGCGGCUCUAUGGACAAGUCCCUUGGAACAGGGCAUCGUARAGGGUGAAAAUCCCGUACUUGCCAUGGAAGUACCGUGCUUUGUGAUACACGUUCCAAGAGUCGAGUAGUUUGGGAUUGCUGCUCAAAGUGGGUGGUAGACUCCAUCUAAAGCUAAAUAUCGGGGAGAGACCGAUAGCGAACAAGUACCGUGAGGGAAAGAUGAAAAGCACUUUGGAAAGAGAGUUAAAAGUACGUGAAAUUGUCGAAAGGGAAGCACUUGAAGUCAGCCAUGCUGCUUGAGACUCAGCCUGGCUUUUGCUUGGUGUAUUUCUCGGUAGCAAGCCAGCAUUGGUUUGUGUCGUCGGAGAAGCGUAUGGGGAAUGUGGCAUCCUCGGAUGUGUUAUAGCCCUGUGCUGGAUACGACGACGCARACCAAGGAACGCAGUGUGCCCUCUGGGCGGGUCUUCGGACACCUUCACACUUAGGAUGCUGGCGUAAUGGCUUUAAGUGGCCCGU